This 551-nucleotide ribosomal RNA is filed under the name uncultured bacterium. RNAcentral describes it as "bacterial SSU rRNA". It matches the Rfam family "Bacterial small subunit ribosomal RNA", at positions 110 to 659 of the family's 1533-position model. The record is from RNAcentral.
GUAAUAUAUCGGAACGUACCCUAGAGUGGGGGAUAACGUAGCGAAAGUUACGCUAAUACCGCAUACGAUCUAAGGAUGAAAGUGGGGGAUCGCAAGACCUCAUGCUCGUGGAGCGGCCGAUAUCUGAUUAGCUAGUUGGUGGGGUAAAGGCCUACCAAGGCAUCGAUCAGUAGCUGGUCUGAGAGGACGACCAGCCACACUGGAACUGAGACACGGUCCAGACUCCUACGGGAGGCAGCAGUGGGGAAUUUUGGACAAUGGGCGCAAGCCUGAUCCAGCAAUGCCGCGUGAGUGAAGAAGGCCUUCGGGUUGUAAAGCUCUUUUGUCAGGGAAGAAACGGUGGCCUCUAAUAUAGGCUGCUAAUGACGGUACCUGAAGAAUAAGCACCGGCUAACUACGUGCCAGCAGCCGCGGUAAUACGUAGGGUGCAAGCGUUAAUCGGAAUUACUGGGCGUAAAGCGUGCGCAGGCGGUUUGUACGUCUGUCGUGAAAUCCCCGGGCUCAACUGGGAAUGGCGAUGGAGACUGCAAGGCUAGAAUCUGGGCAGAGGG